GGGAUUUGGCCUCAGAGGGCCUCCAAGGUCAGGUUAGGGCUGGAAAUUUCUUUCCUUCUCCUCCUUCCCCAUCACUUUCCAUCCUCUCUCCCUGCUUCCUCUUCCUCUCAUCUCCUCCCGCCCCACCCCAUUACCUCCUGUGAACCAGAGACUGUACCAGGCUCUGGUGUGUAAACCUGAGUGAGACUUUGUCCCUGCCCUCAAAAGCGGCUUAUAAUGUAUGAUCAUUCUAACACGUGGCAGGAACAAUACCGGGACCGUCAGUCUGGGGCCUCUGCAGGGCUCCCAGGAAGAGGCUAUGGUUUGAGCACCAGCCUGUGGGGCAGAGGACGUGUGACUGUAUGACGGAGAGGCCAUGAGAACUAAACAUGACCAGUUACAACACUGGAACACAGGAUUUGGGGUAUUUGAGUCUGUGUUCCUGGACCAUGGCCACUCAGCGUGGGCUCCAGAGCAAACUCAUAUUCCCUUGGAGGUGAGAGCUGGACUUUUGCAUCGACAAUUAUGGUGCUGCAAUGUGGGUGUUCUAGAAGGGUCUCCUGAAUGAAAGAGAAGCAGCUAGACCCACUAAGUCCAAGCCUUACGCCCUUAUCCUCUCAGAUAUGAAAGCAAGUAUUGGAAACAUAAUUUAGCCUCAUUUAAAGAAUAAAAUAAAACCAAAAUCCUUGGCCUAAAGCAACACUGAGAAAACCAUUUUUUCCUCAGAAAAUAUACUGUCCCUUCAGCUAUUUAGCUUUAAAAGGAGGAAGAGAUGUUGACCUUACUUCUGCUUGACCGACUUCAGCUUUCGGUUUUUUUUUGUUACUGAGCUUUUUUUUACAUCAGACAAAGAUGGGGCUGGAAACCUUCUGCCGUCUCCAGGGUGAACCUGGGUCUUAGAUCCUUGAGUCUAUGAUCUGUGCACCACACGUACUCCUGGUGUGCCUGGAGGCCAGAAGAAGGUGUCAGAUGCCUUGGGACUAGUGUUAUGGACAGUAUGAGCCAACAUACGGGUGCUGGGAAUCGAACCCUGGUCUUGUGGAAGAGCCGCCAAUGUUCUUCUUAACCACUGAGCUAUCUCUCCAGGCCUUCAAAAUAUGCUUUUUUCCCAAUGUAACAUUUUUAUUGAUUCUCUGAUAAUUUUACAUCAUGGACCCGGAUCAUAUUGACUUCCCAGUCCUUCCUUGUCCACCUCCCCAUUGUUGUGACCUCACCCCUGCAAAAAAGUAAAAAUAAAAACAAGAAUUUUUUAAAAAGUCUCAUUGACUCCCCAUGGGAAGUCUUUGUUUAGGUGGAAGCCCUACUGAUGUCUGUAUCUAUCCAAAAAGUUUGGGAUGUGUGAAACCUCCAGUUUGGGUUUGUUCCAAACCCAGCCCUCAGGGUGACAUCAGCAGCCACUCCCUUGGAGUUGCCUCAGUCUAGGCUCCACCCCUGGGGGACAUUACUCCGCCCAUGAGAAAGCCUGCCAUUGGUGGCUCCACCUCCAGAGGGCAUUAAAAGGCCCCAGCUAAUGGGUUCCCGUCAGGG
This is a long non-coding RNA of Alexandromys fortis (reed vole), 1506 nucleotides long. RefSeq lists it as uncharacterized. The transcript has 4 exons. The record is from RefSeq and is a predicted model, not a curated record. Lineage: Eukaryota; Metazoa; Chordata; Mammalia; Rodentia; Cricetidae.